This 1372-nucleotide ribosomal RNA is filed under the name uncultured bacterium. RNAcentral's name for it is "bacterial SSU rRNA". It matches the Rfam family "Bacterial small subunit ribosomal RNA", at positions 28 to 1381 of the family's 1533-position model. The record is from RNAcentral.
GAUGAACGCUGGCGGCGUGCCUAAUACAUGCAAGUCGAGCGAACGGACGAGAAGCUUGCUUCUCUGAUGUUAGCGGCGGACGGGUGAGUAACACGUGGAUAACCUACCUAUAAGACCGGGAUAACUUCGGGAAACCGGAGCUAAUACCGGAUAAUAUUUUGAACCGCAUGGUUCAAAAGUGAAAGACGGUCUUGCUGUCACUUAUAGAUGGAUCCGCGCUGCAUUAGCUAGUUGGUAAGGUAACGGCUUACCAAGGCAACGAUGCAUAGCCGACCUGAGAGGGUGAUCGGCCACACUGGAACUGAGACACGGUCCAGACUCCUACGGGAGGCAGCAGUAGGGAAUCUUCCGCAAUGGGCGAAAGCCUGACGGAGCAACGCCGCGUGAGUGAUGAAGGUCUUCGGAUCGUAAAACUCUGUUAUUAGGGAAGAACAUAUGUGUAAGUAACUGUGCACAUCUUGACGGUACCUAAUCAGAAAGCCACGGCUAACUACGUGCCAGCAGCCGCGGUAAUACGUAGGUGGCAAGCGUUAUCCGGAAUUAUUGGGCGUAAAGCGCGCGUAGGCGGUUUUUUAAGUCUGAUGUGAAAGCCCACGGCUCAACCGUGGAGGGUCAUUGGAAACUGGAAAACUUGAGUGCAGAAGAGGAAAGUGGAAUUCCAUGUGUAGCGGUGAAAUGCGCAGAGAUAUGGAGGAACACCAGUGGCGAAGGCGACUUUCUGGUCUGUAACUGACGCUGAUGUGCGAAAGCGUGGGGAUCAAACAGGAUUAGAUACCCUGGUAGUCCACGCCGUAAACGAUGAGUGCUAAGUGUUAGGGGGUUUCCGCCCCUUAGUGCUGCAGCUAACGCAUUAAGCACUCCGCCUGGGGGGUACGACCGCAAGGUUGAAACUCAAAGGAAUUGACGGGGACCCGCACAAGCGGUGGAGCAUGUGGUUUAAUUCGAAGCAACGCGAAGAACCUUACCAAAUCUUGACAUCCUUUGACAACUCUAGAGAUAGAGCCUUCCCCUUCGGGGGACAAAGUGACAGGUGGUGCAUGGUUGUCGUCAGCUCGUGUCGUGAGAUGUUGGGUUAAGUCCCGCAACGAGCGCAACCCUUAAGCUUAGUUGCCAUCAUUAAGUUGGGCACUCUAAGUUGACUGCCGGUGACAAACCGGAGGAAGGUGGGGAUGACGUCAAAUCAUCAUGCCCCUUAUGAUUUGGGCUACACACGUGCUACAAUGGACAAUACAAAGGGCAGCGAAACCGCGAGGUCAAGCAAAUCCCAUAAAGUUGUUCUCAGUUCGGAUUGUAGUCUGCAACUCGACUACAUGAAGCUGGAAUCGCUAGUAAUCGUAGAUCAGCAUGCUACGGUGAAUACGUUCCCGGGUCU